UCCAAUCGAACUCGGAGAUAGCUGGUUCUCCCCGAAAUAGCUUUAGGGCUAGCGUCGGAUAUGUGUAGUGGAGGUAGAGCACUGAAUGGGCUAGGGGGCAUAUCGCUUACCGAACCUUAUCAAACUCCGAAUGCCAUAUACAUUUAGUCCGGCAGUCAGACUACGAAUGAUAAGAUCCGUGGUCAAAAGGGAAACAGCCCAGAUCGUCAGCUAAGGUCCCAAAGUGUAAGUUAAGUGGAAAAGGAUGUGGGAUUUCUAAGACAACUAGGAUGUUGGCUUAGAAGCAGCCACUCAUUUAAAGAGUGCGUAAUAGCUCACUAGUCGAGAGAUCCUGCGCCGAAAAUGUCCGGGGCUAAAACUUACCACCGAAGCUACGGGCUUGCGUAAGCAAGCGGUAGGGGAGCGUCGUAAUCGGGCUGAAGUCGUACCGUAAGGAGCGGUGGACUGAUUACGAGUGAGAAUGUUGGCAUUAGUAGCGAGAUGUAGGUGAGAAUCCUACAGGCCGAAUAUCUAAGGUUUCCUCAGGAAGGCUCGUCCGCUGAGGGUUAGUCGGGACCUAAGCCGAGGCCGAAAGGCGUAGGCGAUGGACAACAGGUUGAUAUUCCUGUACCACUACCAUCGUUAUUAUCGAGGGUGUGACGGAGAAGGAUAGUGUGUGCUAGCGAUUGGAAAUGCUAGUCUAAGCGUUUAGGCAGUUACGGUAGGCAAAUCCGCUGUAAUGUUAAUGCUGAGGCGUGAUGGGGAAGGCCCUUGAGGCUGAAGUACAUGAUUCCAUGCUUCCAAGAAAAGCAUCUAGAGAGAGAAGUAGUGCCCGUACCGCAAACCGACACAGGUAGAUGAGGAGAGAAUCCUAAGGCCGGCGGAAGAAUUGCAGUUAAGGAACUAGGCAAAUUGACCCCGUAAGUUAGCGAGAAGGGGUGCCUACGAGAGUAGGCCGCAGAGAAUAGGCCCAAGCAACUGUUUAGCAAAAACACAGGUCUCUGCUAAAGCGCAAGCUGAUGUAUAGGGGCUGACGCCUGCCCGGUGCUGGAAGGUUAAGGGGAACACUUAGCGCAAGCGAAGGUGUGAACUUAAGCCCCAGUAAACGGCGGCCGUAACUAUAACGGUCCUAAGGUAGCGAAAUUCCUUGUCAGGUAAGUUCUGACCCGCACGAAUGGCGUAAUGACUUGGGCACUGUCUCAACUGCAAAUCCGGCGAAGUUGUAGUGCGAGUGAAGAUGCUCGCUACCCGCGAUUGGACGGAAAGACCCCGUAGAGCUUUACUGUAGCUUAGCAUUGAAUUCCGGUAUUGUCUGUACAGGAUAGGUGGGAGACUGGGAAACUAGGGCGUCAGCCUUAGUGGAGUCAUCCUUGGGAUACCACCCUGACAGUACUGGGGUUCUAACAGGAUGCCAUGAAUCUGGUGACUGGACAUUGUUAGGUGGGCAGUUUGACUGGGGCGGUCGCCUCCUAAAAAGUAACGGAGGCGCCCAAAGGUUCCCUCAGAACGGUCGGAAAUCGUUCGUAGAGUGCAAAGGCAGAAGGGAGCCUGACUGCGAGACCUACAAGUCGAGCAGGGACGAAAGUCGGGCUUAGUGAUCCGGUGGUACCUCGUGGGAGGGCCAUCGCUCAACGGAUAAAAGCUACCUCGGGGAUAACAGGCUGAUCUCCCCCAAGAGUCCACAUCGACGGGGAGGUUUGGCACCUCGAUGUCGGCUCGUCGCAUCCUGGGGCUG
Molecule: ribosomal RNA, 1714 nt
Filed under: human gut metagenome
Description: bacterial LSU rRNA
Rfam family: Bacterial large subunit ribosomal RNA
Source: RNAcentral